AGAAAAUCGCAGCCAUACGGGCUGUGCUCCCCCAGCUGAACUCUAUUCCUGACGCUGGGAGAAAAGACGCCGUGUGGCGACGUGCUCCUCCCUCCAACCCCGCCAACCUCAUCUGUCAGCCAUUAGUUAAUCAGGGCCGGUAACGCGCGGCACGGAGGGCUGGCACAGCUCGUGGGACCAGAGGACAGCUUCGCCUCUGAGACCUGAGGGACCUCUGCCUCCGGAUCCACGGCUGGGCCGCUUCACUCAGCGGCACCCACUCAGAAAUGGCGUCAACUUCGAGAUGACCCCAGCCAAAGCAUGUCUGUGAGCAGGUAAGCCAAUAGGACACAUGGAAGCUGUUAGGGAUCCAAGAGGAACCUGACCAGAGCUUACAUAUCUGUCACUCAGCCAACGUGGCUUUCAAAGCAGUUUAUACUGCGCAAUACCUCACACAGAGAAGGUAAAUUCCCCCGAAGCCAACAGAGAUCAGCACUGCCUUGCGUGUGUAAAUGUCGAGCAGCAGACUCUGACUGGGCUUUCUUUCGCCGAUUAAAGGCGAAUUGAGUUUGGAAAACAAGGUCCGGCCGUAGAGACGAUACAAGUUGUAUGAUGGAACACAUUUUUUUUUUUUUUUUUUUUUUUUGUAUUCCCGAAACUUGUCUUAAAAUGUGGGAGCCAAUCACAUUGCGGCACGCUCGCAAUGCAACACCACGGUAAUACCAGGCGUACGGUUACCAUAGUUACGCACGCUCUUCAAAGGAGAUCGGCGUGGACCCGGAGCAAGAACCAACUUGCCAGAGUAGACUGAAGGGAGUGCAGAAUUAUACCCGGAGCUACACGUUGUCAGCGGUGUGAGGAACAGUCAUACUCUAAACUACGCUUUUUCUAUUCCGAUUGUUAUUCCAUCAGAAGUACGCAUAAUCACGCUGGGAGCCAGCAGCCAUCGGUGUGAACUGUAUUGCCUGGGGAGACAUUGCCAUGUUUGUGGCGUUUGUUUUAGCUUAAUCAGUAUCACAAUGUCCUUCGGCGCAAAGAUUAAAGCACAAAUCCGAGAGAGAAGGAGACCAGAGGUGUAGGGUCACAGAGACCUCAGGCUGCUUUUCUGUCUGUGCUCUUGUUUUGCAGGGAGGUCUCAAAGAGUCCAAACAACACAUGUUGCCAACAUGGGAACAGCCGGUAAGAGCGGCGUCACGGGGCACAGGAAUGUCAAGAGUCAUAGAUCUUUUAUCCAUCCGGCCUCGUUUGAAACCACGCACAGGAGCACUGUGACAUUUUUUGAAUCCAACCCAUGUCACGUUUAGCUUUGCUAACUUCCGCGUGACCAACCUGACGGCGUGCGACGAACCAUAGAACCCAGAAAAUGGCCGGAGAUAUUCUACAGGCACUAACGUACAAAUUCAGUUCAGACAAGUUUAGCAGUUGAUGUCAACUGCUAAAUGGAAAUAGUUCCCAGACUCCAUCAGUGCGGUUCUUGUAUUUUGUCACGCUUUUAAGAGUUAAAUAAACAAUUGGUUGAGUAAGCAUAUACAGUUUCUCCAACGCAGUUUCCUCUUUAAGUCAACACCACUCGAGAAAGAUACACCAAGAAACUAUAAGUCAAAAUGAAACGACGAAGUUUUUCCGCCAGUCUAAACAUUUCACAGAGUACUUUUUCCAUCACUAUGUAGUCGGCCUGCUCAUAUGUGCACUCUACUGCACAUGGAAUGAUGAAUACAUUGGAAUAAAGCUAAUUCUUGAGGACAGAACUUUAAAAAUAUAGGAGACCAAUUAGAGAGUUAAAAUACUUACAAUUGAUGUUGAGCAUUUAACUCUAGGUCUCUCUUCCCACUAAAGAAAGAAUAAAAACAUAAAGAACGCUGCAUGACGAGAAGAAUAUCCCUGUUAUAAAGACAGAAGAAAUCCACACCUGGUGUUACCACAUAUCCACUAUUAAAACACGAAUUGUUUGCCAACUCACUUGAAGCUCUGCUGAAAGGGUGUCUGAUUUGAGUCGAGUCAGUGGGUUUUACCAUUGGACAAAAAACACCCAAACCAGCGUUUUUUCCUGGCGCGCCCUGGCUGGUCAACACAUUUCCAGAACAAUGGCGAAGGAUUUAGAUCCGAACAGCAGAAAUAAACAUGAGGUUUUGGUUUCAUUCGUCUCAGUAAACCCAGAUAAAUAUUGCAGCGAUGCGUGAGGCAAAGUAGAGCCAGUCCUUGACAGCUUCUGUCAUUUUAACAAAGUACUAAAACGUCAAUAUGAACGUGUACUUAAUAAUAACUGCUAUACUGUACAUAGAGCUGGACCAAUGAGUUAUUACAUUACUGUGGCAAACAGUUUAAUAGAGUAAAACUUCCAGGCAAAAAUAGCCGAUAUGGUUCACUUUGUAAAAUAUUUCUUUGGCUAAGUCGGGCUUUGAACAGCUGACAAAGAAAGUAGGGACAUUUAUUACUAUUUUCAAUACCUUACAGUCCAAAAAAUGAAAGCACUCGGGAAUAAUAAUAAUGACGGGCAGAUGCUUAAUAAAUAAAAAAUGGUCGCUAGCUGCAGCCCUAGAAAUACACAAUGCGUGAACGGUGGAUUUUCCCUCUGAAUGAAAAUAUCUUCAGUGAAUAGUGCAUCAAAGACGACCUGACAGGUAGCUAACGUGCAUAGAAAGUACAGCACACACAGUCCGACAGUAAGGUACACAUACAGCUAAAUGUCUGACUCCUAGAGUGUAGUCAAAACAGCACAAAAUCAGCCCUCUGUUACUGGGCGGGUGGGCUCGAACAUCCAAGCUAUCGCCGUCCCCCCAAUCAGAAGGGAAAAAGCUCUUGGAUAUGGAUGCCAAAACAAAACAGAAAAAUAACUCAAUUUCAGCUUGAUAGCAUCGACAGGCCCAAACAGGACCAGGCCCCGUCAAGUCUGACGCGUUAACCUCAUGGGAGAAGAAUUUGCAUUUAAGUGGAGUCUAAGAAGUGACUCCAAGAGGCCCUAAACCACUUUAGAAUCCUUGACAGAGGAGUUGAGGAAAAGCAGGCGCACUCUACCUGUGUCAAAGUGAGGCUGUGUUCCCUAUCAUUCAAUGAGCCUGAGCUAAACCCCACUAAAUGUUUCCACACUUUCACACCUUGUCUCGUCUCAUUGCAUCUCACCACAUCUGCUCACACCUUGGAUUACCUAAAAAUAUAGCCUGACCUUUACUGGAUGGACUCCUCUGUUAAUCUACUCCAAUGCACAACCACGUUAAGUUAACGUUAAGUUAAGUCAAGCUUCCAGAUGGGACUUGACUUUGACAGCGCCAAAAUCCUGGUUUUCUGCUGGCAAACCAAAUUACAGCAGGUAAUAUACUCAACUUAUCGUCAUGUUUUUCAACUGCUGGACCCAUAAAAGCAGUCCAAAUAUUAAGAUAAUUCAGAUUACAUCUUGAAAGCAUUUGGUUCCAGCCUCCAUAGUCUUAAUGGUUUGCAAAUAUCUGUAGGCCAUAGUGCUUGACUUUUAACCAGCAAAUCAUCAACUAAACUAUUUUGCUUUCUCUCAAAGGCCAAAUUGAAACAAUAGCUCCCUCGACUCAGAUUUAAAUCAAAGCCAUAACAAGCGCUGCGCUCUGGAGGACCGCAGGGGGCCCUUCAGCCACCGCUUCAAUUGAUCCCACUCGACUGGCAUAUGCACAUGAUCAGAAACACAAGAGCAUGUCAUGGCCAACUGACCCCACGGAUGACAGGUUUGCAGAGAGUUCUUGCCCGCUGCCCUCGGGCCAAAGUAUGUCAACGGUGUGCAUGUGGAUUUAAUUUAAAGCAGCAUUAUUAGGUCACAGACGCUCAGCUGCACGAGGAAGCAACUCGUGACAGGAAAUGCUAUGUUUUUGUUUGCAACAAAAAGGCAUAAAUGGCUGAAAUUGUGCCCUGGUUGCCAAUUUACCACACACAGUCUUAUUGUAGCUGAUUGCACAUGUUGGACAUUGCUUUAAAGGCACGUCAUUAGUUUGUGGAAUUUACAUUUCUGAUUGUUUAGGCUUAACUCUGUCUGAAACUAUACACUGCUGCAAUAAAUGUGAUAAUUGUUG
This is a non-coding RNA of Gasterosteus aculeatus aculeatus (three-spined stickleback), 4010 nucleotides long. The record is from RefSeq and is a predicted model, not a curated record. NCBI's taxonomy places the organism in Eukaryota, Metazoa, Chordata, Actinopteri, Perciformes, Gasterosteidae.